AUUUCCAGGCCCCUUGGGCAGGGCUGGAGGGGCCGAGGAGAGCUAUUCGAGGGAAAGGUGCCCCGAGGGGCAGGAAAUUAAGUUGGGGCUGCCCGGGCGAGCUGCCAGGUAGCCGUGCUCGCCACGGCGUCUCAUGGGGCACCUAGCUAGUGGCGGGCCUCAUAGGGCGGGAAAAGAAUCGUCGCUCACACCCCAGCAAAACGUGGCCCUCGACGGUCCGUUGGAGAGCCCCGGCGGCCGUGAGCCCCGGGCAGGGCUGGACGUCUGCGGAGCCCUCGGGCACUUUGUCCCGGGCGCCUGGGGAGGAACGCGGAGCUCCCAGGGCCUUAGGUGCAACGGCUGCGCAGAGCCCAAACGAAAUGUCCCCAGUGCGGAAAAGCCGGUGACGCCCUGGUAGCAAGACCAAGAGCUUCCGAAGAACGCUGCGCCCUUAACUAGGGGGCCUCGCAGAGAUGCCUGUGUGGGCCUGCAUUGUAUAUUUCUGCGAAAUAGCGAAUGGACACGUUUGCUCAGGGUUUUUAUGGUUGCCAAAGGGGGUAAAAUUACCCAGUCCCCCAAAUCUGUGUCCCAUGAAUCCCUCUCAUAGUACCCCUCUCCAGGGGGCCAAGAGGUCCUCCAGGUCCCCGUGGGUUCGCAGCUCCACCCGCCCUUCCUCGCCCUGCAUCCCUAAGGAGAGGUGUCCGCUCUGAAGGGCUAGGGGCCAGCCAUGGAGUGAGGGGACCGGGGCUGACCACGCGCGGCACAGACAGAGGUCCUCAGGCGGGCCCUCUCCUGGACGGUGGGGCCGGAGCUGAUCUAGAAGAAAUACGGAGGGACGUGCCGAGAAGCCGCUCUCCUUCGCCGCGACCCUGGAGAGCGCCUCUCCACCCAAAGGAUCUGCCGAGCUGAGAGAUCCAGGGCGGGCGUCCGCAGCCGUGAGGCCCCCUGCGCCGCCAGUAUGGGAAGAUCCUGCCUCCUUACACCUUGGAGAACGCUGGGCGACGACUAAAGCGCCUUCCGCCGGCCUGUCACUCCAUGUGACACAGGAGCCACGUGAGACCCAGAAGAGUCCAGCGACUCGCCGCGCGGCGCACUUUAAACUCUAGCCUGAGUCUGCGACCCCUCCAGCUCUCCAGUCCCCAGCUGUUGGGGACAUCAAGCCGGAGCCCUGGGCUCUCUGCCCUGUGGGUCGCUGAAAGCAGAGACUCCUCAAACCAACCGAACCGGGCGCAUUAACCCUCUCGCCUGCACCCCGCUGCCUCCCGGUUGAGCCCCGAGGCGGCUCCAGGUAGAACCUGCUGGACUGACUGCGGCGUCCAGAAAUCUGGAGUGUGGGCUCCAGACACUCUCCACGGUUUGGCCCCGGGUCUCAACACCCAAGUCGCCUCUUCUGGCUCCUUCACCACACAGCGGGGCCUGUGGAAAGGGAGGGGCCGAGAGACCCGUCGGCGCACCACUGUCCUCGAGGGGUCCCCACCCUGUGCACUGCUGAAGCGCAGGGCGCGCCGCGGCAGGAAUGGCCCCGAGUGCGGAUCCCCUGCCCUGAGCCUCCCACUCUUGGCCCGCGCUGCGCCUACCCAGUGGCCCUGGCCCCGCAGGGCGACAGCGGCUGCUCCCUCCCAUUUGCGUCCCAGACCGCGCGGCCUCGCUUAGCUCCCGGGAGCCGACAGGCGCUUGCCCUGGUGCCAGCGCAGGGCUUCCCGGGGGCUUGGGGUAGGGGUAGGGGUGCGGGGGGGAAGGGGAGAACGUAAUUUCCUUCUGCAGGAGUCGUGGAGACGUGAGCUGCAACCAGCCACCGCGCUCUCUCCAGGCUUGUUUACCAGUUUUAGGUCAUCAUUGUGCACGAAACAUUCUUUCAUCCAAAUAAAAGCAAAUGCAGAAGAACACCUG
RNAcentral lists this long non-coding RNA (1869 nucleotides) under Homo sapiens (human). RNAcentral's name for it is "non-protein coding lnc-ITIH2-9:1". Lineage: Eukaryota; Metazoa; Chordata; Mammalia; Primates; Hominidae. The record is from RNAcentral.